RNAcentral lists this transfer RNA (77 nucleotides) under Acinetobacter sp. RNAcentral's name for it is "tRNA-Asp". It matches the Rfam family "tRNA". From Rfam's summary of the family: Transfer RNA (tRNA) molecules are approximately 80 nucleotides in length. Their secondary structure includes four short double-helical elements and three loops (D, anti-codon, and T loops). The record is from RNAcentral. Lineage: Bacteria; Pseudomonadati; Pseudomonadota; Gammaproteobacteria; Moraxellales; Moraxellaceae.
CGGCACGUAGAGGAGAGGCCGUCCUCAUCGCACUGUCUAUGCGAAAAUCGUGGGUUCGAAUCCCAUCGUACUGACCA